UGCCGAUCGUAUUUUCAAUCGAUCAGCAUUACAAGCAUUCCGCCAGACUAUUCUCCUACUAGGUUCAUUUCUUUGUUCAUACUCACUCUUAUUCUAUUUUCAGCCUUUAUGACCUCAAUUCUUUUAUUUUUCAGAUACAGCAGUACCUGUCUCCAUUGAUCCCACUGUACCAAAAGAAGAACCAGAGGAGAUUCCUGAUAUUUCGCCUACUUUUUCUGUAAUCGCCUCCUUCUUCUGUAAUAGAAUUUUCCUUUCCUUUGGAUUUUGAGAUACAUAUAUAUAUAUAUAUAUAUAUAUAUAUUUUAUUUGUCUACAGUCAAUUCCAGCUUCUCCAUCGGUCCCAGCUUCAAAUAAAAGACCGAUUGAAACUGUACAAUCUCCGCCUCCGCCGUCUUCAAA
This 399-nucleotide long non-coding RNA is filed under the name Ananas comosus (pineapple). RNAcentral describes it as "long non-coding RNA (ACOM_LNC026810)". The record is from RNAcentral. Lineage: Eukaryota; Viridiplantae; Streptophyta; Magnoliopsida; Poales; Bromeliaceae.